ACCGUACUCCUACGGGAGGCAGCAGUGGGGAAUUUUGGACAAUGGGGGCAACCCUGAUCCAGCAAUGCCGCGUGAGUGAAGAAGGCCUUCGGGUUGUAAAGCUCUUUUGUCAGGGAAGAAACGGUAGUAGCUAAUAUCUAUUACUAAUGACGGUACCUGAAGAAUAAGCACCGGCUAACUACGUGCCAGCAGCCGCGGUAAUACGUAGGGUGCAAGCGUUAAUCGGAAUUACUGGGCGUAAAGCGUGCGCAGGCGGUUGUGUAAGUCAGAUGUGAAAUGCCCGGGCUCAACCGGGGAAUUGCAUUUGAGACUGCACGGAUAGAGUGUGUCAGAGGGGGGGUAGAAUUCCACGUGUAGCAGUGAAAUGCGUAGAUAUGUGGAGGAAUACCGAUGGCGAAGGCAGCCCCCCGGGAUAACACUGACGCUCAUGCACGAAAGCGUGGGGAGCAAACAGGAUUAGAUACCCCUGUGUCCUUGAC
RNAcentral lists this ribosomal RNA (479 nucleotides) under uncultured bacterium. RNAcentral's name for it is "bacterial SSU rRNA". It matches the Rfam family "Bacterial small subunit ribosomal RNA", at positions 330 to 801 of the family's 1533-position model. The record is from RNAcentral.